AAGACCUCUAAAAUCAUUGGGUCCAACCUUUGACUGAACACCACCAUGCCAACUAAACCAUGGCACUAAGCCCCUAAUACUCAUCAGAUUUUUGAAUAUCCAAGUAGUUUCUUGAACACUAGCAGAGUUGGUGACUCCAUCACUGCCCUGGGCAGCCCAUUCCAAUUCUUAAUCAACCUUUCAGUGAAGUAAUUCUUCCUGAUGUCCAGCCUGAAGCUUUACUCUUCAGAAAUGAGCUUUACAAAAGGUGAGGACCGAAGGCUGCCUACUCUUGCACUUUGAAAGAAGAGAUGGAGUAAAUGUAGGCUGUGUAGCUGGAAAUACAAAGACAGACACUGAUGCCAUUUCUGCCAUACAUAGUGGGAAGGAUAGAGGUACCAACUACUGGUUUGAGAGGUUUGUUCUGUGUUUGUCUGUUGUGUAAGAGAAAUAGAAAUCUCCACAGCUGGUAUCCACUGUAGUCCCACUAGUGUUCUGCACCACUCCAAGGACUGACACCAGGAUGGAGCCACAGCUCAACACAUUCAGAGCUGGGAACAGCUGCCCCUUACAGUUCUGCCCAAACCACAGCUGCUACCCCUCCCCAGCUGUGAGGAAAGAAGCACAAGGAGAACACCUGGUGAGCAGUGCGAAAGUUAAAUGCCCAGGCAGGGAUCAAGGGGCACACAAGGGAAAAAAAAGCACCAUGUCCUGAGCAGCAUCCAUUUCUACCAGCAGAGAACUAGAGACAAGAGAAUGGACUCAUGGCAGCUGGGAUUCCCAUCAGUGUUUGCCAGCAGGAGAACGUUUGUCCUAAUCCGGCCACCCUUGACGACAUCUCAGACCAUAGGGAGGAUCCACAGACCCUUCCCAGGCGAGGAAGGAGCCUGGCCAAGGAUUAGAGAAGAUCUAAAGAGGAGUUUAAAAGCAAUUCCUCUUUUGAGAAGACCAACAGUAAGGAGUACAAUUUCAACUUUAUUUUCCUGUGAUGACAGUAGAGAUAUUUUUCUUCUAUCUUUUCAAGAUGUUCCAUGAUAGGUUAAGACAUGGAAAUCUUACUUCCAAUUCCAGUUCCAGUCAAUAAAUAAAUAUUGGUCCACUGUCAUGAAACAACUACCAAACAAGUUAAUGUUCUGAAAUUUGAUUUCCAGCACCCAGGAUCCUGAACACAAUUAUGGAAGCCUGAGAAGAAACACAGAGUCCACCAUCAGACAGUUUUGUUGGCAUUGAUUAUUUUCUUUCAUACCCUUCAUUAUAUACAUCUUCUUUUAGCCAUAAGUAUCAAGCAGAUUUUUUAUAUCAGUUUUUCGUUAAUGACUAUUCCAUUUGCUUUAGAAGGAACUUUGGAGUUUCAUGAAGGCCGCCAAAGCAGGUCAACAGACUGACUGAAAAAAUAGAAAAAUCCAAUGGGGAAAAAAAGAAAAGGCUUUUGCAACUUUGCAAAAUUCAAAUAUAAAGCAUAGAAAAGUCGGAAUGGUGGGUGUUGGAGGUGUGGAAACACAACACAGUGAUUUUGUCUUCUAACAGUCACUUUCCAAAGUUUUUUACUGCCUAAUUGGGCAUUUUUGGAGAGGUCCUGAGCUCUCUUUCCUCCUAGAGCUAUGAGAACAUGACUGAACUUCUAGAGCACUUUACAUUGGUCUUGAGUGACUCAGAUCUACCCAUGCUAAUGGCUGACCCAUAAAACCUGUCAAUUUAAUUAACUACAGCUCUUCUCUAUUUUACUUCUAGAUUUGGGAAAUUGAAACAAAAUCUCUUUAAUGUUACCAGAAACUUAUUAUUUAUUUGUAUUUUCUCAUAACUGAUGAUCAGGAAUGCAUUUCUGCUUUUCAAAUGUCAGUGAGACCUCUCACUAUUUUUGACAUCCCUGUUAAUCAUGGCGACAGAUCACCAAAGACAUGCACCAGAUUCUCUGUUUUCAGUCUGGGGAUAACAUGUAGCACCAUAUUAUAUAGCCUUUCACUCAUUCCAGAAUUUAAGUCAUUCUACCAUGAUAUGCUAAUAAAAAACUUAAAGGUUGUGCUUACUGAAGAUUUUACCCAGGACCAAGAGUUUCUAGGAAAACAUUGUGUUCAAUCUCCCACAUCUGAUGCAGAAAUCUGAUGAGACACUGUAAGCACUUCAUAUGAUUCAGUUCUCCAGGUUGCCAGUACCUUGUGACUGCAGUAUCUAAAGACAAGGAAACUAGAAACUUAGAAUAUUUGGUUCUAGAAAUCACUGAUAAAAAAUUUAAAAGCAGAAUUACAGAAUCAUGGGGCAUCGGAAGUUAGGUCUGACGAUCAUCUGGUUUAACAUCACACACAAAGUAGGGCCAGAUUCAAAGCUACAGAAGGUUGCUCAAUGACAUCUCUGGUCAAGUUUUCAACAUCUGUAAAGGUGGAGGAGACUCCACAGUUUCUGUGAAGAAUCUGUCUCCAUGUUCCAGCAAUCUCUUCAUACCCCCAGGAACUUAGUUUUAAUUUCAAUGGAGAUUUUUUGAGAUUUCUGAAAGUGUGAAGGAAAUUUCUAACAGAAGAACCUAUGGAAAGCUCUUGCUCAGAAAGAUACUGGGAAUGAAUGAAUGGUGAAACUUUGCCUAAUUGCAACUGGAUGGGGAUUUAAUUCUUGAAUUCCACUUGCCAGUCAGUCUAAACCUUAGUCUGAACAUGCCACUUAAUCCUCAUUUUCCUCCAUACCACGAGGUAUGAAACAAAAACUAAAAAAUGUUUAAAAAUUAAUUAAUAUUAGACCUCCAAAAUUUCAUGACACAGGCAGUAAAAAUCAUUCCUCUGUACUAGGUGAGCCUGGAACCUGCUCCAACAAUGACCUGCUUUAAUAUGGCAACUCCAUGAGUUUCAGUUUCAGUUUCUUCAGAGAUUUACAUCUCCCUUUCACCAUUACAGCUCAGAGGAAUUAGUGCAGUGAUAGGAGUAGAAAGGCAGAAAUAAACUACUUUAAAAACUUCAAAAGAGCAGGAAUAGUGAGUAUAGGUUGCAAAGAUUUGCACACACAAAAAAUCUGUAAUUCUAGUAUAACAAGUAUAGUGGCUAAUUUGUAACUUCAGUUUGUAAGGACACAAAGAAUGUGGAACAAAACAGAAAAAAAAAUCUGUAUCUGUUACUAGUGGUGCAAUGUAGCUAGAAAGUGAAGCCAAAUACACAUUCAAAAGAAAAAAAAUAAUAAACUGCAAUGUUUCACCAAAUUAGCAGUUGGGUGUCCAUCUCUUGAAAGCAGUUUGACUAAAUCAGAAAUAAAUUCAGAAAGUUCUGAGGGCAGUAUUAGGGCAAAAAUAUGAUUAGACUAUCACAAUGGUCAUUUGUGCUCAUUUCCAAAUGUGGAAAACACUGAAUUGCAAUUAGAAUAAAACAGUCUUGUUAAACUGGGAAAUAGUCUCUCUGGGCAUAUACAAGAGUCCUUUUCAUUUGACUAUUUAAAACAGAACUGAAUUAUCUAGGUGUAUUAAAGAUAUAUCCUGUCUUUGUCAUGUUUGGGUGGGUGGAGUAAGUGCUUCCAGUUCUAAUGUUAAGGUACAAAGCUAUUAGGGGGGGUACACAGCUUCCAGUAAUGGGGACAGGGAGGGAGGAGGAAGGCUGGAUGUUCCUUAUCUCUAAAUGCUGUGUCCCAGAUAAAGCUUGAACAUAAUAUGAUGCUUCUGAGCUCCACAGGCAAAAUAUUUCUAUUGCUUACAUAGAGUUGUCAAAAAACAGCACCGACAGAAUAAAGCAAUUGGAGACAGAAGGAAAACAAAACUGAAAUUUUGUUUCCAUUCCAGAGUUUUUAGUGUUGCAACCAUGAUCUAUGGCUCCUAACAAUAUUCCAGGCAGUAGCUGUUAAAUAAUGUUGCAUAAAUCCAUUUAUACCCUUGGCAGACCAGUAUUCCCAAGAGGCUCCUGUUCCAUGUUUCUUCUUUCCAGGACAGGACAGAGUUUUAUAAUGUUAUUUCCAGGGCAUUUAAAAUCACAAAUCUAACAGUGAAAUAAAUAUUUGUUUUGCAACCAAACCUUGAUCUCUGCAGCAGAUACCUUCCAGUUCUAAUGUUUUUCUUCCAAUCAGAAGCUGACUGUAGGCAACUGAUCCAAAUCCAAGAUUCAGUGAUGGAGUAUAAGCCUCUGUGACCUGCCGAGUAUUUUCCCUUCCACUUCUUUAAACCCCAAAUUAUUUAAUACUCAUUGCUGCUUCCCAGCAGAAUGGUGUGUGGCCAGCUGUCCACCAAAUGAGACAAGAAAAUCAUCACUUUCUGUGUCGACUGGGGUCACACAGUGGUUUCUCAGAAGCAGCAUGAUGUCCAUCAACUGACCUCCCACUUGGAUGGAACAUAACUAUGUAUUCAGAUCACUUUAUAAGUGCUACUCACUUAGGAACAGUGUUUGAGCAUUGGCACCUGCAGAUAUAAUAUCUCACUCCACCCCCACUCAAAGGCCCCCACUUUCUGCAGGAACUCUGCCCAAGGACAGAUGGAUGCUGCAUAGUCCAACAGCUGUGCUGCCAGAACACAGAUUAUUACGCUGGUGACUCUCAACAGGACACCUGAAGCACUAUUAAUCCUUGACACCUAUUAUUUUAUUUUCCUAUGCUGAAUUUUUACAAUUACAUCUCAUGAAUACUAAUAUCUGCUUGGUAAUUAAAAACAAACAAACAAAAAAUCAUAACAUAAUGAUACUAAAUUGUCUAAAUAAGCACAGAAAGGAGUUGUGUCCUAGAAGUGCUACUUGUCUCUAUUCAGUAAAAUUGAAUUGUUGAAUUGUGAAUGUUGUGAUAUAUAAAAUUUGCUGCUGAACUUUCUAACAUAACAGUACUAUUUAAUGCCACGGAAAUACACAUAAAGUUCACAACAGUAUUCUGAUCUGUGGACUAAGAGAGGAAAGGACAGGAACCUUUCUAAGAUGACCCCAAACAGAUUUCCUUCUGCAGCAGGAAAAGCAAAAAGAAGCAGGGAGGAAACAUAGUGUCCAGAUACGGGCAAUGUUGGUUUGGUUUUAUUUUCAAAGGAAUUUUUAUUUUGCCUUUCCCCUGAAAUAUAAACUUUAGAGUAUUUCAAGAAUUUCUUGAUUAUAUUUAAAUACGACUGGAUGAGCCAGAUGCCUGAGGU
This 5047-nucleotide long non-coding RNA is filed under the name Taeniopygia guttata (zebra finch). RNAcentral describes it as "lncRNA (ENSTGUG00000025675.1)". The record is from RNAcentral. Lineage: Eukaryota; Metazoa; Chordata; Aves; Passeriformes; Estrildidae.